Molecule: ribosomal RNA, 440 nt
Filed under: uncultured bacterium
Lineage: Bacteria
Description: partial 16S ribosomal RNA
Rfam family: Bacterial small subunit ribosomal RNA
Source: RNAcentral
ACUACGGGAGGCAGCAGUGGGGAAUAUUGCACAAUGGGGGAAACCCUGAUGCAGCGACGCCGCGUGAGUGAAGAAGUAUUGCGGUAUGUAAAGCUCGAUCAGCAGGGAAGAAAAUGACGGUACCUGAUUAAGAAGCCCCGGCUAACUAAGUGCCAGCAGCCGCGGUAAUACGUAGGGGGCAAGCGUUAUCCGGAUGUACUGGGGGUAAAGGGAGCGUAGACGGCAGCACCAGUCUGGAGUGAAAUGCCGGGGCUUAACCCCGGAACUGCUUGGGAAACUGUGCAGCUAGAGUGCAGGAGAGGUAAGUGGAAUUCCUUGUGUAGCGGUGAAAUGCGUCGAUAUUAGGAGGAACACCAGUGGCGAAGGCGGCUUACUGGACUGUAACUGACGUUGAGGCUCGAACGCGUGGGGAGCAAACAGGAUUCGAUACCCUGGUAGUC